This 2014-nucleotide unclassified non-coding RNA is filed under the name uncultured fungus. Its description in RNAcentral is "sequence contains 18S rRNA gene, ITS1, 5.8S rRNA gene, ITS2, 28S rRNA gene". The stretch from base 868 to 2014 matches the Rfam family "Eukaryotic large subunit ribosomal RNA", at positions 1 to 961 of the family's 3401-position model. The record is from RNAcentral. Lineage: Eukaryota; Fungi.
GGAAGGAUCAUUAUCACGUAUAUCCACGUUAUAAACCCUUCUUUGAAAUGUUUUAUUUCUACAAUUUUCUGAUCGACAGCAAGGAUUGGGCAUUUUUAAGGGUGAAAGAAUAGACUUGUAGGUUCGCCCUGCAUGAAAUGAGUUACUAUUGUAAUUUGAAAGCUCAGACUAUUCGAGUAGCUAAACCAUUCGUUCAUAUCUAUAUCGAAAAAACUGUGUGUUUUUUCUCUUUAUUAUGAAGUGUCGAUGGUUUAUUUGCAGCAAUGCAAACCGCCAGCAAUCGAACCGCAUCAGAAAAGUAAUUCAAAUUUACAUUAUUUGUUAAUAAACAACUUUAACCCCUUUUGAUAAAUUGAACUAAAUUAAUUUUCAUACUCUGAUAAAAAGGAGAUGAAAUUCAUUACGAAACAAAGAACAACUCUUAGCAACGGAUAUCUUGGUUCUCGUAACGAUGAAGAACGCAGCGAAAUGCGAUACGUAAUGCGAAUUGCAGAAUUCAGUGAAUCAUCAAAUCUUUGAACGCAAAUUGCGCUUUCUGGAUAGGCCAGGGAGCAUGCCUCUUUGAGCAUCGUUUCUACCAAAACUCGUUAGCUUUGCCAGUAAAAUGGCGGAGCGAGCGGAGAUUGCGCUUCUCGCUGGAAACAGUGAGUGGCGUUAAGAAGCGUGAGUUCAUUUCACACUGUUCUAGUGUUCGACCUUUUUGGUUUCAUUAUCAAAAAGGGCGCCUUUCUAAACCAAAGGUUUAUACUAGUUAUGUAGAUAAAAUUUUUUUAACCACAUAACACAAGUAGAUUCAGUUGAUUUAGUUGUUUGGCUAAAACAAUAGAACCGAAUUGAAUUCGUUUGAAAAUUAAAAUUUUUGAAUUAAGAUCUCAAAUGAAGCAAGAUUACCCGCUGAACUUAAGCAUAUUAUUAAGCGGAGGAAAAGAAACUAACAAGGAUGCCCUCAGUAACGGCGAGUGAAGCGGGCAAAGCUCAACCUGAAAAUCGGAUUCCUUAGCGGGAUUUCGAAUUGUGGGCUACAGACGCGUAAUCAGUGUGUGACCCAGGUAUAAAUCUCUUUGAAACGAGGUAUCAUAGAGGGUGAGAAUCCCGUCUGUGACUUGGAGUUCGCCGCGUACGAUUCGUGCUCGCAGAGUCGCGUUGUUUGGGAUUGCAGCGCUAAAUGGGUGGUAAAUUUCAUCUAAAGCUAAAUAUCGACGAGAGACCGAUAGCGAACAAGUACCGUGAGGGAAAGAUGAAAAGAACUUUGAAAAGAGAGUUAAAAAGUACUUGAAAUUGCUAAGAGGGAAGCACUGGAAACCAGUCGUGACCCGCGUGUAUAUUUAGCAUGUGCGUCUGGAUCCGCGUAGUGUUGAGAGCCAAAAGCCUCAUAGCUAUUCGGUGAAUUGCGUGCUAGCGACCUGUACUGUGGGUUGAGUCAGAAUCAAUUUGAUUCGUGAGAGAAAGCUAUCACAACGGUAGGACCGCGGGGGCAACUCCAAGGUCUGUUUAGUGUGGUAGUGCUAUCAUGGGUUGGAUUGAGGGACAAUCAACAACGCGCCCCGCAUGGGGAUGCGCUCCCCGACCCUUGACGAUCAGAAGGUUUGGACAACAAAGUUGUGCUGCUUUCGAAGUUGUCUACUGGAAGGGAUGAGCGACAAGCUGCGUUCGAGAUUCUGACGAAAUGGUUUUCAUUGACCCGUCUUGAAACACGGACCAAGGAGUCUAACAUAUAUGCGAGUAUUUGGGCUGGAAACCCUUAUGCGCAAUGAAAGUGAAGGUUGUCUUCGGACUUCUGAGGUAGGAACCUGUGUCCUCGGACAUAGGGGCACUAUCGACCGAUCGUCACUUGUGGAAGAUUUGAGUAUGAGCAUAUCUGUUGGGACCCGAAAGAUGGUGAUCUAUGCCUGAACAGGGCGAAGCCAGGGGAAACUCUGGUGGAGGCUCGUAGCGAUACUGACGUGCAAAUCGUUCGUCUGAUUUGGGUAUAGGGGCGAAAGACUAAUCGAACCAUCUAGUAGCUGGUUCCCUC